This 429-nucleotide ribosomal RNA is filed under the name uncultured bacterium. RNAcentral's name for it is "bacterial SSU rRNA". It matches the Rfam family "Bacterial small subunit ribosomal RNA", at positions 355 to 796 of the family's 1533-position model. The record is from RNAcentral.
UGGGGAAUAUUGCACAAUGGGCGGAAGCCUGAUGCAGCGACGCCGCGUGAGGGAUGACGGCCUUCGGGUUGUAAACCUCUUUCAGCAGGGACGAAGCGUAAGUGACGGUACCUGCAGAAGAAGCGCCGGCCAACUACGUGCCAGCAGCCGCGGUAAGACGUAGGGCGCGAGCGUUGUCCGGAAUUAUUGGGCGUAAAGAGCUCGUAGGCGGCUUGUUGCGUCGGCUGUGAAAACCCGCGGCUUAACCGUGGGCUUGCAGCCGAUACGGGCAGGCUAGAGUUCGGUAGGGGAGACUGGAAUUCCUGGUGUAGCGGUGAAAUGCGCAGAUAUCAGGAGGAACACCGGUGGCGAAGGCGGGUCUCUGGGCCGAUACUGACGCUGAGGAGCGAAAGCGUGGGGAGCGAACAGGAUUAGAUACCCCUGUAGUCC